Molecule: RNA transcript, 2395 nt
Organism: Perca flavescens (yellow perch)
Lineage: Eukaryota; Metazoa; Chordata; Actinopteri; Perciformes; Percidae
Gene: srsf7a
Gene name: serine and arginine rich splicing factor 7a
Exons: 9
Source: RefSeq, a predicted model, not a curated record
UCACAGUGCGCAGAUGCGGAAGUGACGCCUUUAGAUGGUGGGGUUGUAGUCUGUGCAGGAAAUUGUGGUGGUGGUGGUUUAGCUGUUAGCUGGUCAAUCUGUGCGACAGACAUGUGGAAGACUUGUUAAUGUCCACGAGUGGCUAUUUAGCUAGUUCAUUCAGCAGAAAAAACAAACAUUGUCUUUAAUUCGUUCAACGCCACCUCGGGCUUCUGUUUGUGGCGGUUGAAUUUCACCUGCGUGUUGUAGCUGAAUCAGAAAUCAUCGGAGCAGCGGAACAAGGCAAGGAGAGAUGUCGCACUAUUCGUCCUCCCGUAGUUCGUCUCGGGCGACCGACUGUAAAGUGUACGUGGGUGACUUGGGUAACGGUGCUGCCAAGGGGGAGCUGGAGCGAGCAUUCAGUUAUUAUGGCCCACUGAGAACUGUCUGGGUGGCCAGAAACCCACCUGGCUUUGCCUUUGUGGAAUUUGAGGAUGCCAGAGAUGCAGAAGAUGCUGUGAAAGGCAUGGAUGGAAAGGUCCUUUGUGGUUCCCGUGUUCGCGUGGAGCUGUCAACGGGCCUCUCCAGGAAGGGCCGAGGGCGCCCCAGCCGACGCCAGUUCGACCCCAAUGAUCGGUGUUACCAGUGUGGGGACCGGGGCCACUACGCCUACGACUGCUACCGCUUUAGCAAGCGCGGAGGCCGUCGCAGCAGGUCUCGAUCUCACUCCAGGUCUAGGUCCAGGUCCCGCGGGCGCCGUUACCGCUCUCGCUCCCACAGCCGUAGCCGUAGCCACAGCCGGAGCCGUCGUCGAUCUCCAUCCUAUUCCAGACGCAGGAGCAGGUCUGGCUCUCCAGCCCGUUCCAAGUCCAGGACUCCAGUGAGAAGUCGUUCCAGAUCUCGGUCCGGCUCUGCGCCCAGACGACGCUCUCCCUCCCGAUCUCGCUCACGAUCUCCAGCAGCCAAUCACAAGAGGAACAGCGUGUGGUGGGAGCUGAGCACCGCACUGACACCACAGCUGAUCCCAGGCCCAGGGUCUGCCAGCUGGCGGUGUGUACGUCCUGCGGGAGGGUGACUAAGCGCUGACCUGAGAUCAGCCUUCGUCUGCAUCUGGUGUUAGACAGCGAGAAAGAGGUCGACCUACCGACCGAACCCUCCCCACAGUGAAUGGGUGACCGUCUGUUCAACCGACGCACACGCUAAGACGAGAUCAGCCCGUGCACACAUACAGUUGUUCUACUAGAGUUCUACUAGAGUCACCCAGCCAGCCAGCCUUCAGAUGUACCAGAGGGCUGACCCACACAGAUCAGAGUUCGACCGCUACCUUUUUAAAUCCAUUACCUACCUACCAGACCCCCCUACCUACCAGAGUUCUUCGGCCUCUGUCUUAGCUUCUGAAAGAGAGCUGACGAGAGAUCAGUCUUCAAGAGCCUCCCAGCGCAGUGUCUCUCCGAGUUGUAGUCGUCCGUCCUACAGUCCUUUCAUCCUUCGCUUCUCUGUACUUGUUGUUUCUGCCACUGUCUCCAAAGUCGUUCCCGUACAGCAAGUCCACACCGAAGCCCCACGCCGGCAGACGACUGAGUGAAGAAGACUUAUUAGUUCCUUAACUACUCUGCACCCCGUCUGCUUUCACAGCCCUACAGCAGCUGUUUUUUUGUACUUUGUCUGUUUAGUCCCAGUCUUUUUUAAGAUUAUUUUUCUCCCCAGGACUAGUAGUCUUCGUGCAGCCUCAGAUUGUUGAAGAUUUAGUCAGUUUAGCAGACAAAAAUCAGUUUCCAUUUGAUAUAAGUGUACUGCUGCUGCAUAGGUCCUCUUUCUUCUCUGAAGACGCGUGCUGUAGCAAGUGUAAGAAGCAACACCUGUGUUAAGGUGAUACUGAAUGUUGCCAUUGGCUUUUAGCAGUGAUAUGAGUAGCUUGUACAGUACACUUUCUGUGGAAGAUAGCCCAGUUGAUGCAGCGUUUGAGAGUGUAAACUGCUUUUAUUCCCUAAAAUUUCUAAACCAUCAAAACAUUUUCCCCAUUGAGAAUCGGCAAACAAUUUUUUUUUUUUUUUUUUUUUUUUUUUUAUUGCUCUCCAAUUUGAAUUUUUAGGUUAAAAUGCUGUUUAAUGUUUCCACUCAUGAUGGCAUAAGGAGGUAGUUGCUGGCCCGCAUGCCUUUUGAAUAUGUAGUCACAUUCCUGUUUGUUGUUUCUGUGCUGCACUGCCCCCUUAAAUGAACCUGAUCAGCUUUACUUUGUGCUGAAUGAAUUUUCCCCAUGUGUUGAAUCUCUGAUUUUGUUUAUGACUUAAUUUUAAAAUAUAUACAGUGCUGAAGUUUGAUUUCUGUAAGGGCUGCUUUAACAGUUUUGUUCUGUUCUUUGCUUAUACUGUAAGACAGUGGCAGUUUCAGUUUUGAAUAAAUCCCUUCAAUGUAC